GACGUAGGGAGCGAGCGUUGUCCGGAUUCAUUGGGCGUAAAGAGCGCGCAGGCGGUUUGGUAAGUCGGAUGUGAAAACCCGGGGCUCAACCCCGGGCGUGCAUCUCGAUACUGCCCGACUAGAGGUAGGUAGGGGAGAUCGGAAUUCCUGGUGUAGCGGUGAAAUGCGCAGAUAUCAGGAGGAACACCGGUGGCGAAGGCGGCUACCUGGACCGGCACUGACGCUGAGGCGCGAAAGCCAGGGGAGCGAAUGGG
Molecule: ribosomal RNA, 254 nt
Filed under: uncultured bacterium
Lineage: Bacteria
Description: partial 16S ribosomal RNA
Rfam family: Bacterial small subunit ribosomal RNA
Source: RNAcentral